GAUGAAGAACGUAGUGAAAUGCGAUAAGUAAUGUGAAUUGCAGAAUUCAGUGAAUCAUCGAAUCUUUGAACGCACAUUGCGCCCCCUGGUAUUCCGGGGGGCAUGCCUGUUCGAGCGUCAUUUCACCACUCAAGCCUCGCUUGGUAUUGGGCAUCGCGGUCCGCCGCGCGCCUCAAAUCGACCGGCUGGGUCUUCUGUCCCCUAAGCGUUGUGGAAACUAUUCGCUAAAGGGUGUUCGGGAGGCUACGCCGUAAAACAACCCCAUUUCUAAGGUUGACCUCGGAUCAGGUAGGGAUACCCGCUGAACUUAAGCAUAUCAAUAAGCGGAGGA
Molecule: unclassified non-coding RNA, 331 nt
Filed under: soil metagenome
Description: partial contains 5.8S ribosomal RNA, internal transcribed spacer 2, and large subunit ribosomal RNA
Rfam family: 5.8S ribosomal RNA (bases 1-120)
Source: RNAcentral